RNAcentral lists this ribosomal RNA (1667 nucleotides) under metagenome. RNAcentral describes it as "bacterial LSU rRNA". It matches the Rfam family "Bacterial large subunit ribosomal RNA", at positions 1194 to 2925 of the family's 2925-position model. The record is from RNAcentral.
UCGAAGCUAUGGAUUCCAUUUUGUUUCGACAGAAUGGAGUGGUAGGAGAGCGUUCUCAACGCAGCGAAGCCGAACCGAAAGGGAUGGUGGAGUGUUGAGAAGUGAGAAUGCAGACAUGAGUAGCGAUAAACCAGAUGAGAAUUCUGGUCGCCGUAAACCCAAGGUUUCCUGGGGCAGGUUCGUCCUCCCAGGGUUAGCCGGGAGCUAAGAUGAGGCCGUAAGACGUAAUCGAUGCACAGAUGGUUAAUAUUCCAUCGCCGUUCCGGUUUAAGGCCAGCAGGUACGCAUAGAGAGAACCCACUAGACAAUCGAAUGUCGAGCCGAGCCUUCGGGCAAAGCGCAUGGGCGGACAGUGUGCCGAGAAAAGCUGCUGGUUGUUCCCCGGAGCGCCCGUACCGCAAACCGACACAGGUGGGUGAGUCGAGUAGACUAAGGCGCGCGAGAGAAACCUUUCUAAGGAACUCUGCAAAAUAGCCCCGUAACUUCGGGAGAAGGGGUGCCCAACGCAAGUUGGGUCUCAGUAAAUUGGGUUUAGCGACUGUUUAACAAAAACACAGCACUCUGCCAAGUCGUGAAGACGACGUAUAGGGUGUGACACGUGACCAAUGCGGAAAGAUCAAGGUGAGUUGUUAGCCGCAAGGCGAAGCUCCGAGCCUAAGUCCCCGUGAAUGUCGGCCGUAACUAUAACGGUCCUAAGGUAGCGAAAUUCCUUGUCGGGUAAGUUCCGACCUGCACGAAUCGUGUAACGACUGAACCGCUGUCUCGGAGAGGAUCUCGGCGAAAUUGUAACUGCGGUGAAGAUGCCGCAUGCCCGCAGUAGGACGGAAAGACCCUAUGCACCUUUACUGUAAGCUGAUAUUGUGUUCUGGUUCAUGAUGCGUAGCGUAGGUGGGAGGCGUUGAUGCCACGGUUUAGGCCGUGGUGGAGCUGAAAUGUGAAACACCACUCUUUGUGAAUUAGGAUUCUAACCUCCGCCUGUUAGCCAGGGGAGGGACAGUGUCUGCGGGUCAGUUUGGCUGGGGCGGCUUCCUCCCAAAAAGUAACGGAGGAGCGCGAAGCUGGGCUCAACAUGGUUUGCAACCAUGUGUCGAGCGUAUGGGUAUAAGCCCGGUUAACUGCAAGACCUACAAGUCGAGCAGAUGCGAAAGCAGGCCCAAAUGAUCCGACGGUGGAAUGUGGAAUUGCCGUCGCUCAACGGACAAAAGGUACGCUAGGGAUAACAGGCUGAUCGAUUCCAAGAGUUCAUAUCGACGAAUCGGUUUGGCACCUCGAUGUCGGCUCAUCGCAUCCUGGGGCUGGAGAAGGUCCCAAGGGUCCGGCUGUUCGCCGGUUAAAGCGGUACGCGAGCUGGGUUCAGAACGUCGUGAGACAGUUCGGUCCUUAUCCACUGUGGGCGCAGGAAACUUGAGGGGUUCAUUCCCUAGUACGAGAGGACCGGGAAUGACGCGCUUCUGGUGUGGCAAUUGUAUCGUCAGAUGCAUCGUUGCGUAGCCAUGCGCGGAAGAGAUAAGCGCUGAAAGCAUCUAAGCGCCAAGCUCCUCCCAAGAUAUGGUUUCCCUGUCGCAAGACACUAAAGGCCCCCGGAAGACCACCGGGUUGAUAGGUUGGGCGUGCACAACAAGUAAUUGUUUUAGCGGACCAAUACUAAUCGGCCGUGAGGCUUGAUC